Molecule: ribosomal RNA, 798 nt
Filed under: uncultured Pseudomonadota bacterium
Lineage: Bacteria; Pseudomonadati; Pseudomonadota
Description: bacterial SSU rRNA
Rfam family: Bacterial small subunit ribosomal RNA
Source: RNAcentral
AAAACCCCGCAAGGGGUUAGUAGAGUGGCAAACGGGUGAGUAACGCGUGGGUGACCUGCCUUCGAGCGGGGGAUAACGUUCCGAAAGGGACGCUAAUACCGCAUAACAUCCUGCCUUUGAAGAGGUGGAGAUCAAAGCUAGGGAUCGCAAGACCUGGCACUUGAAGAGGGGCCCGCGUCUGAUUAGCUAGUUGGUGAGGUAACGGCUCACCAAGGCUUCGAUCAGUAUCCGGCCUGAGAGGGCGGACGGACACACUGGGACUGAGACACGGCCCAGACUCCUACGGGAGGCAGCAGUGGGGAAUUGUUCGCAAUGGGCGCAAGCCUGACGACGCAACGCCGCGUGGAGGAUGAAGAUUUUCGGAUCGUAAACUCCUGUCGAAUGGGACGAAAAGAUUGCGGGUUAACAGCCCGUAGUCCUGACGGUACCGUUAAAGGAAACCCCGGCUAACUCCGUGCCAGCAGCCGCGGUAAUACGGGGGGGGUAAGCGUUGUUCGGAAUUACUGGGCGUAAAGGGCUCGUAGGCGGCCAACUAAGUCAGACGUGAAAUCCCUCAGCUUAACUGGGGAACUGCGUCUGAUACUGGAUGGCUUGGAUUCGGGAGAGGAAUGCGGAAUUCCAGGUGUAGCGGUGAAAUGCGUAGAUAUCUGGAGGAACACCGGUGGCGAAGGCGGCAUUCUGGACCGACAUUGACGCUGAGGAGCGAAAGCCAGGGGAGCAAACGGGAUUAGAUACCCCGGUAGUCCUGGCCCUAAACGAUGAAAGCUUGGUGUGGCGGGUAUCGAUCCCUGCCGUGCC